CAGAAGCCGAAGCAGCCGGACGUGCCGA
RNAcentral lists this small RNA (28 nucleotides) under Bombyx mori (domestic silkworm). Its description in RNAcentral is "ovarian small RNA-13080". Lineage: Eukaryota; Metazoa; Arthropoda; Insecta; Lepidoptera; Bombycidae. The record is from RNAcentral.